AAUUAGUCCUUUCAUCUAUUUAUAUUAUUAAAAACUAUUGUGAUUGAUGGAAUAACCAGACAAUGACAUGUGAUGUGCCAUAUGUACCUCAUGUUGAGGUAUAAAGACCAAUUUUUAAUAACAUAAUUAGAUAGAAUUUUUAAAA
Non-coding RNA from Gossypium raimondii (Peruvian cotton), 145 nucleotides. NCBI's taxonomy places the organism in Eukaryota, Viridiplantae, Streptophyta, Magnoliopsida, Malvales, Malvaceae. The record is from Rfam.